This 468-nucleotide ribosomal RNA is filed under the name uncultured bacterium. Its description in RNAcentral is "partial 16S ribosomal RNA". It matches the Rfam family "Bacterial small subunit ribosomal RNA", at positions 28 to 507 of the family's 1533-position model. The record is from RNAcentral.
GACGAACGCUGGCGGCGUGCUUAACACAUGCAAGUCGAACGGAAAGGCCCUGCUUUUGUGGGGUGCUCGAGUGGCGAACGGGUGAGUAACACGUGAGUAACCUGCCCUUGACUUUGGGAUAACUUCAGGAAACUGGGGCUAAUACCGGAUAGGAGCUCCUGCUGCAUGGUGGGGGUUGGAAAGUUUCGGCGGUUGGGGAUGGACUCGCGGCUUAUCAGCUUGUUGGUGGGGUAGUGGCUUACCAAGGCUUUGACGGGUAGCCGGCCUGAGAGGGUAACCGGCCACAUUGGGACUGAGGUACGGCCCAGACUCCUACGGGAGGCAGCAGGGGGGAAUAUUGCACAAUGGGCGGAAGCCUGAUGCAGCAACGCCGCGUGCGGGAUGACGGCCUUCGGGUUGUAAACCGCUUUCGCCUGUGACGAAGCGUGAGUGACGGUAAUGGGUAAAGAAGCACCGGCUAACUACGUG